Neogale vison (American mink) is the source of this 1856-nucleotide RNA transcript. It is a transcript of the gene named solute carrier family 35 member D2, with no coding region annotated. The transcript has 11 exons. The record is from RefSeq and is a predicted model, not a curated record. Lineage: Eukaryota; Metazoa; Chordata; Mammalia; Carnivora; Mustelidae.
CCCGGCUGCGGGCGGCCGUGGUCAUGACGGCCGGCAGCCAGGCCGAGGGCGCGGACCUCGACCCCGCCUCCGCGCGGCUGCCCUCCCGGCUGGCCAAGCUGCUGUCGGCGCUUUUCUACGGGACUUGCUCCUUCCUCAUCGUGCUGGUCAACAAGGCACUGCUGACCACCUAUCGAUUCCCAUCACCAAUUUUUCUUGGAAUUGGGCAGAUGGCAGUGACCAUAAUGAUACUGUAUGUAUCCAAACUAAAUAAACUAAUUCAUUUCCCUGACUUUGACAAGAAAAUUCCUGUGAAGCUGUUUCCUCUGCCUCUCCUCUACGUUGGAAACCACAUAAGUGGAUUAUCAAGCACAAGUAAAUUAAGCUUGCCGAUGUUCACCGUGCUCAGGAAAUUUACCAUUCCACUCACUUUACUCCUGGAAACCAUCAUACUUGGGAAACAGUAUUCCUUGAGCAUCAUCGUCAGUGUUUUUACCAUUGUGCUUGGUGCUUUCAUAGCAGCUGGUUCUGACCUCGCCUUUAACUUGGAAGGCUAUAUUUUUGUAUUCCUGAAUGAUAUCUUCACAGCAGCAAAUGGAGUUUAUACCAAACAGAAAAUGGACCCCAAGGAGUUGGGGAAAUAUGGAGUGCUUUUCUACAAUGCCUGCUUCAUGAUUAUACCGACUCUUAUCAUUAGUGUCUCUACCGGAGACCUUCAACAGGCUACUGAAUUCAAUGAAUGGAAGAAUGUUCUCUUUAUCGUACAGUUUCUUCUUUCCUGUUUUUUGGGGUUUCUGUUGAUGUAUUCCACAGUUCUGUGCAGCUUUUACAAUUCGGCCCUCACAACAGCAGUGGUUGGAGCCAUCAAGGUAAGCAGGUGAAGGCUUGGGAAAUGGGGAACUGGCCGUGAAUCCAGUCUUCACAAGAGGAGCAGGGUUCGAUUUUAUGGUUGCAAUGGGGGCGGGGCGAGGGUGGGGGUGGGUGGGUAGAGAAAGCGUACAGACUUGUGACCUUUGCAGCUGUACCUGGGUCACCUCUUCUUAGAUCUUCUCAUCCCCUAAUCCAUGAACAAGAGGGAGGGCUUGCUAAUUUAAAAAGAAGAGACAAAUUACGACCUUUAAUUCGAGGAUGGUCUCAGAGGGGAGGGUCUGAGAAAAUGAAGUAAACAAAGCAGAAAAAAAUGUCCAAAUCUCUGUAUUCACCAAGAUGCCUUGUUAGGUGCCUUGUUUGUAAACUUGGUUCUGGGAGAACCUGUUGACUAAGAAAGGGAAGCCUUGUGAAGACAUGUUUUUAAUGUAGAUAUAUGCACAAUGUAUAAGGUACUAAACUCAUGGACUGUGUGUAAGUGUGUCUGUGUCUGUGUGUCUGAAUACACACAGCAGUGAAGAGGAGGGCGGGGUGUUCUGUGCUCUGUCCCACAGUUGCUUUGAUUUUCCAAUCACACCAAUAGAGCGAGUGAGAAAGACUGUCUGCUCUAGCAGCAGACUGUCUGUUGGCUGCCCAGACCUCCUAGAAUACACAGGGCAGGGCACUGCUUGGAAUUUGCUGUAUGUCUAAUCCAUGCAAGUUUAGGGUCCAGUAUGAUAAAAUUUACCAACCAGUGAUGCUGAAGAGAUGGGAUCUGGAAAGCUGAUUACAGCUCAAUGCUUACAUCUUUUUUUUUUUUUUUUCUUUUCCUAUGUAUUAACUAUAAGGGGCACGAAUGAUGCAGUGUUCUGUAAUUAUCAUGCCACGGAAAGCCAUAUGUAAUGGUUUUUUUCUUCAUUCAUUCAACAUUCUGUGAGCAGCUACUGUAAUGUAUCCAUUGCCUACAUUGGAAUGUUAGUUGGUGGAGACUAUAUUUUCUCUAUGUUAAACUUUGUAGGGUUAAAUAUUUG